GGGCAUGUGGUGUAGUUGGUUAUCACGCUCGCUUAGCAUCUUUGGAGCUUGCGAGAGGGGUCCGGUUCAAUCCCGGACAUGUCCA
This 85-nucleotide transfer RNA is filed under the name Trametes pubescens. RNAcentral describes it as "tRNA-Ala". The record is from RNAcentral. Lineage: Eukaryota; Fungi; Basidiomycota; Agaricomycetes; Polyporales; Polyporaceae.